GAUGAACGCUAGCGGCAGGCCUAAUACAUGCAAGUCGAGGGGCAUCAUAGUAGCAAUACUGAUGGCGACCGGCGCACGGGUGCGUAACACGUAUACAAUCUGCCUUUAACAGGGGAAUAGCUCGGAGAAAUCCGAAUUAAUGCCCCAUAAUACGGGAAACGGCAUCGUUUUCUGUUGAAAGCUCCGGCGGUUAGAGAUGAGUAUGCGCAUGAUUAGCUAGUUGGUAGUGUAACGGACUACCAAGGCUACGAUCAUUAGGGGAUCUGAGAGGACUACCCCCCACACUGGUACUGAGACACGGACCAGACUCCUACGGGAGGCAGCAGUAAGGAAUAUUGGUCAAUGGAGGCAACUCUGAACCAGCCAUGCCGCGUGCAGGAUGAAGGCGCUAUGCGUCGUAAACUGCUUUUGUACGGGAGAAAACCAUGGUACGUGUACCGUGUUGAUAGUACCGUAAGAAUAAGGAUCGGCUAACUUCGUGC
Molecule: ribosomal RNA, 482 nt
Filed under: uncultured bacterium
Lineage: Bacteria
Description: bacterial SSU rRNA
Rfam family: Bacterial small subunit ribosomal RNA
Source: RNAcentral